UGGGGAAUAUUGGACAAUGGGCGAAAGCCUGAUCCAGCCAUGCCGCGUGUGAAGAAGGUCUUCGGAUUGUAAAGCACUUUAAGUUGGGAGGAAGGGCAGUUACCUAAUACGUGAUUGUCUUGACGUUACCGACAGAAUAAGCACCGGCUAACUCUGUGCCAGCAGCCGCGGUAAUACAGAGGGUGCAAGCGUUAAUCGGAAUUACUGGGCGUAAAGCGCGCGUAGGUGGUUUGUUAAGUUGGAUGUGAAAUCCCCGGGCUCAACCUGGGAACUGCAUUCAAAACUGACAGGCUAGAGUAUGGUAGAGGGUGGUGGAAUUUCCUGUGUAGCGGUGAAAUGCGUAGAUAUAGGAAGGAACACCAGUGGCGAAGGCGACCACCUGGACUGAUACUGACACUGAGGUGCGAAAGCGUGGGGAGCAAAACAGGAUUAGAUACCCUGGUAGUCCACGCCGUAAAACGAUGUCAACUAGCCGUUGGGAGCCUUGAGCUCUUAGUGGCGCAGCUAACGCAUUAAGUUGACCGCCUGGGGAGUACGGCCGCAAGGUUAAAAACUCAAAUGAAUUGACGGGGUCAUAGCUGUUUCCUG
This 588-nucleotide ribosomal RNA is filed under the name uncultured bacterium. Its description in RNAcentral is "partial 16S ribosomal RNA". It matches the Rfam family "Bacterial small subunit ribosomal RNA", at positions 355 to 1376 of the family's 1533-position model. The record is from RNAcentral.